GAUACACGACCGUACCGCAAACCGACACUGGUGCGCGAGAUGAGUAUUCUAAGGCGCUUGAGAGAACUCAGGAGAAGGAACUCGGCAAAUUGACACCGUAACUUCGGAAGAAGGUGUGCCUUUAGUAGGUGAACCUGUACAAGGGGAGCCCAAUGAGGUUGCAAAAAAUCGGUGGCUGCGACUGUUUAAUAAAAACACAGCACUCUGCAAACACGAAAGUGGACGUAUAGGGUGUGACGCCUGCCCGGUGCUGGAAGAUUAAAUGAUGGGGUGCAAGCUCUUGAUUGAAGUCCCAGUAAACGGCGGCCGUAACUAUAACGGUCCUUAGGUAGCGAAAUUCCUUGUCGGGUAAGUUCCGACCUGCACGAAUGGCGUAACGAUGGCCACACUGUCUCCUCCUGAGACUCAGCGAAGUUGAAAUGUUUGUGAUGAUGCAAUCUCCCCGCGGAAAGACGGAAAGACCCCAUGAACCUUUACUGUAGCUUUGUAUUGGACUUUGAACAGAUCUGUGUAGGAUAGGUGGGAGGCUUUGAAGUGUGGUCGCUAGAUCGCAUGGAGCCAACGUUGAAAUACCACCCUGGUGUGUUUGAGGUUCUAACCUAGGCCCGUAAUCCGGGUCGGGGACAGUGCAUGGUAGGCAGUUUGACUGGGGCGGUCUCCUCCCAAAGCGUAACGGAGGAGUUCGAAGGUACGCUAGGUACGGCCGGACAUCGUGCUAAUAGUGCAAUGGCAUAAGCGUGCUUAACUGCGAGACUGACAAGUCGAGCAGAUGCGAAAGCAGGACAUAGUGAUCCGGUGGUUCUGUAUGGAAGGGCCAUCGCUCAACGGAUAAAAGGUACUCUGGGGAUAACAGGCUGAUACCGCCCAAGAGUUCAUAUCGACGGCGGUGUUUGGCACCUCGAUGUCGGCUCAUCUCAUCCUGGGGCUGUAGCCGGUCCCAAGGGUAUGGCUGUUCGCCAUUUAAAGAGGUACGUGAGCUGGGCUUAAAACGUCGUGAGACAGUUUGGUCCCUAUCUUCCGUGGGCGCUGCAGAUUUGAGGAAGCCUGCUCCUAGUACGAGAGGACCGGAGUGGACACACCUCUGGUGUAUCGGUUGUCACGCCAGUGGCAUUGCCGAGUAGCUAUGAGUGGAAGAGAUAACCGCUGAAAGCAUCUAAGCGGGAAACUCGUUUCAAGAUGAGAUCUGCCGGGGCCUUGAGCCCCCUAAAGAGUCGUUCAAGACCAGGACGUUGAUAGGUCGGGUGUGGAAGCGCAGUAAUGCGUUAAGCUAACCGAUACUAAUUGCUCGUGCGGCUUGACCCU
Molecule: ribosomal RNA, 1302 nt
Filed under: metagenome
Description: bacterial LSU rRNA
Rfam family: Bacterial large subunit ribosomal RNA
Source: RNAcentral